UUUUUUCUUCUGUUCAAUGUUUAGCCUUGUGUCAUUCAGGAAGAAACUUUUUCCGUGAUCUCAGACUUUGUAUUAGGGUUGAAUGCUUUCUCCUUGACAGCCAUCAGAAAUAAAGAAGCUCACUUCCAGUACGUAGCCAGAAGCACAAUACCAGCAACCCGUGGACAGCCCAAGCUCUACAAAGGAUGUAACACUUUCAAGAGGGUUUCCAGUGACUGGGUUCAGUCCCGUGGAGAAGACAGAUGCACCUGAAGACUCAGACAAGAGUCACUUGAGAUAAGAAGGUGAAGUCUGUGGGGACAGGAGUGAAUCACCUUGGAUUAGAAGAUGAAGGUCUGGGAGAUGGCUUUCUGGACUGUCACACUCACAUUGACAGGGUUCACACUUCCAUGGAGUUGGUGAAAUAUUAAAGUAACAUCUUCUCUGCUUCUGGGAA
Phascolarctos cinereus (koala) is the source of this 436-nucleotide long non-coding RNA. RefSeq lists it as uncharacterized. Lineage: Eukaryota; Metazoa; Chordata; Mammalia; Diprotodontia; Phascolarctidae. The record is from RefSeq and is a predicted model, not a curated record.